This is a long non-coding RNA of Uranotaenia lowii, 798 nucleotides long. RefSeq lists it as uncharacterized. The record is from RefSeq and is a predicted model, not a curated record. NCBI's taxonomy places the organism in Eukaryota, Metazoa, Arthropoda, Insecta, Diptera, Culicidae. The transcript has 3 exons.
GUACGUUCCGACCGACAUUUUGAUUAAAUAUACUUAUCAAAAGAAUAUUUUGUUUUAAAGACUUCAUCAUUGGUUUUUUCGACUAGCAUUCGCAUUUGUUCAUUUUACGCCUAGAUUUAGUAGUUUUACUAUGCGCUUCGUUUGAGUGUAUUUUGUUAUGUUUUUAAUUCGGGUUGGUUGGUCGCGGAACGCAAAAAAACGACAUGAAAUCGUACGAUACGUAUAUAGUUUUUCGUGGUUUUUCGGUCAUCAAGCUAUACUGUUCACCUGAGGCAAGGCCCACAAAAAUGAUGCUGCACAAAAUUGCCUCAGCCGGGUCAUCCGAUUGUCCUGCUUGUUGGCAAAUUCGUGGAGGCUUUCCCGGUGGUUAUAAUGAUGAUGGUUCUGACAAACCCUGGUGGAUAAACAUCUUCAUCUUCGUCGAUGGACAAACCAAUUGAGUCAACAUGGUCGAAAAAUAUCCUCAAGGGAGUACAUCCAGCUGGCUCACGGUAGCGAAAGUGACGGAUGAUGAAAGGAACGACCUGGAGGAAACCAUAACCGAGAAACAAACUAGGUUGAUUCGAUUCUUCAGUUAAGUCACAAAACUGUUGGACAUCGAUCGUUUAGCCCGGUUGACGAUUGAGGACAAACAGCAUGAACAUAGGAAAUAGUUAUUGACAAAUCAGUGGGUCGCCUCCGGCAAGUAUGUCCAGGGAUUCGCGACUGAUUCGAUGAAUUAACGGAUUACUUAUAGAAAGUCUUAUAUCGAGCUAUUUGGCUGCCUACAUCGGCAUACUAAAAACAUUGAAUGCAAAU